RNAcentral lists this ribosomal RNA (430 nucleotides) under uncultured bacterium. RNAcentral's name for it is "bacterial SSU rRNA". It matches the Rfam family "Bacterial small subunit ribosomal RNA", at positions 355 to 776 of the family's 1533-position model. The record is from RNAcentral.
UGAGGAAUCUUCCGCAAUGGACGAAAGUCUGACGGAGCGACGCCGCGUGGGUGAAGAAGGUUUUCGGAUCGUAAAGCCCUGUCAGGGGGAAAGAAACGCGCCCGUGCAAAUAGUUCGGGUGUCUGACGGUACCCCCAAAGGAAGCACCGGCCAACUACGUGCCAGCAGCCGCGGUAAUACGUAGGGUGCAAGCGUUAUCCGGAAUCACUGGGCGUAAAGAGCUCGUAGGCGGUUCGGUAAGUCACAUGUUAAAUACCCGGGCUUAACCCGGGGACUGCGUGUGAUACUGCCGUACUAGAGAAUGGGAGAGGAAAGUGGAAUUCCUGGUGUAGCGGUGAAAUGCAUAGAUAUCAGGAAGAACACCUGUGGCGAAGGCGGCUUUCUGGACCAUUUCUGACGCUGAGGAGCGAAAGCCAGGGGAGCGAACGGG